This 252-nucleotide ribosomal RNA is filed under the name uncultured bacterium. RNAcentral describes it as "partial 16S ribosomal RNA". It matches the Rfam family "Bacterial small subunit ribosomal RNA", at positions 524 to 776 of the family's 1533-position model. The record is from RNAcentral.
UACGUAUGGUGCAAGCGUUAUCCGGAUUUACUGGGUGUAAGGGAGCGUAGACGGAGGGGCAAGUCUGAAGUGAAAGCCCGGGGCCCAACCCCGGGACUGCUUUGGAAACUGUCCGUCUGGAGUGCCGGAGAGGUAAGCGGAAUUCCCAGUGUAGCGGUGAAAUGCGUAGAUAUUGGGAGGAACACCAGUGGCGAAGGCGGCUUACUGGACGGUCACUGACGUUGAGGCUCGAAAGCGUGGGGAGCAAACAGG